Molecule: ribosomal RNA, 399 nt
Filed under: Klebsiella pneumoniae
Lineage: Bacteria; Pseudomonadati; Pseudomonadota; Gammaproteobacteria; Enterobacterales; Enterobacteriaceae
Description: bacterial SSU rRNA
Rfam family: Bacterial small subunit ribosomal RNA
Source: RNAcentral
AUACCGGUGGCGAAGGCGGCCCCCUGGACAAAGACUGACGCUCAGGUGCGAAAGCGUGGGGAGCAAACAGGAUUAGAUACCCUGGUAGUCCACGCCGUAAACGAUGUCGAUUUGGAGGUUGUGCCCUUGAGGCGUGGCUUCCGGAGCUAACGCGUUAAAUCGACCGCCUGGGGAGUACGGCCGCAAGGUUAAAACUCAAAUGAAUUGACGGGGGCCCGCACAAGCGGUGGAGCAUGUGGUUUAAUUCGAUGCAACGCGAAGAACCUUACCUGGUCUUGACAUCCACAGAACUUUCCAGAGAUGGAUUGGUGCCUUCGGGAACUGUGAGACAGGUGCUGCAUGGCUGUCGUCAGCUCGUGUUGUGAAAUGUUGGGUUAAGUCCCGCAACGAGCGCAACCC